CAGUUGUUCUCCAUCUCCUGGGGACAAGCAGGCACUGAGGCCACAGUGCACACACUGUGUCUGAGAGGGGCCAAAGGGGAAAACCACCUGCCUGGAUUGUUCCGGCUGCAGCAAAGCCUCCAACCCUGGAGGUCUUUUCCAAACAGGAUAGAGCUUCAUCUCUCUGGAAUGUCUGAGGGCAGCAAGGUCUCCCCUGCUCUCUCUGCACAGACAAAGCUCGUCUUCCAUGAAUGACUGGGCCCCACUUCUGGAUGCCAUAGAGCUCCAAACUCCUUCUCGUACUCCACAAAACACAGAGCACUGCUCAGGGCCUUGGCUGCUGUGAAUGUGUUUCUUCUUCCAGAGUUCAUUAUGCAGGUCUGGAAAACAACAACAACAACAACAACAACAACAACAACAGCAGCAGCCACCACCACCAGCACCAGCACCAGCAGCAGCAGCAGCAGGAGAAAAGCAGGGGUUAGUUUGGGGGGUUGAAAUGGGAAAAAGUAGACAUUUCCAGCUCCCAACAUCUUAUUUCCCGAGUAUCUUCGGAGCCCUAGAAAAUGGCUCGGAGCUGCCUUUGCAGUUUUGAAGCUGCACUUGGGUUCCCAUCAGCCCCUGGGCCUCUGAUUGCAGCCUGGGGAGCACCUCUG
This 635-nucleotide long non-coding RNA is filed under the name Rhinopithecus bieti (black snub-nosed monkey). Its description in RNAcentral is "lncRNA (ENSRBIG00000046728.1)". Lineage: Eukaryota; Metazoa; Chordata; Mammalia; Primates; Cercopithecidae. The record is from RNAcentral.